RNAcentral lists this ribosomal RNA (492 nucleotides) under uncultured bacterium. RNAcentral's name for it is "partial 16S ribosomal RNA". It matches the Rfam family "Bacterial small subunit ribosomal RNA", at positions 29 to 507 of the family's 1533-position model. The record is from RNAcentral.
AGUGAACGCUGGCGGUAGGCCUAACACAUGCAAGUCGAACGGCAGCACAGUAAGAGCUUGCUCUUACGGGUGGCGAGUGGCGGACGGGUGAGGAAUACAUCGGAAUCUACUUUUUCGUGGGGGAUAACGUAGGGAAACUUACGCUAAUACCGCAUACGACCUACGGGUGAAAGCAGGGGAUCUUCGGACCUUGCGCGAUUGAAUGAGCCGAUGUCGGAUUAGCUAGUUGGCGGGGUAAAGGCCCACCAAGGCGACGAUCCGUAGCUGGUCUGAGAGGAUGGUCAGCCACACUGGAACUGAGACACGGUCAAGACUCCUACGGGAGGCAGCAGUGGGGAAUAUUAGACAAUGGGCGCAAGCAUGAUCCAGCCAUACCGCGUGGGUGAAGAAGGCGUUCGGGUUGUAAAGCCGUUUUGUUGGGAAAGAAAAGCAGCAGGUUAAGACCCCGCUGUUCUGACGGUACCCAAAGAAUAAGCACCGGCUAACUACGUG